UACAGAGGUGCCAAGCGUUAGGCGGAAUCACUGGGCUUAAAGCGCGUGUAGGUGGUUCGUUAAGUGUCCGCGUGAAAUCCCACGGCUCAACCGUGGAACUGCCGGGCAUACUGGCGAUCUUGAGGCAUUCAGGGGCGAGCGGAACAAAUGGUGGAGCGGUGAAAUGCGUAGAUAUCAUUUGGGACGCCAAUGGUGAAAACAGCUCGCUGGGAAUGAUCUGACACUGAGACGCGAAAGUCAGGGGAGCGAACGGG
Molecule: ribosomal RNA, 254 nt
Filed under: uncultured bacterium
Lineage: Bacteria
Description: partial 16S ribosomal RNA
Rfam family: Bacterial small subunit ribosomal RNA
Source: RNAcentral